GAUGAAGAACGCAGCGAAAUGCGAUACGUAAUGUGAAUUGCAGAAUUCAGUGAAUCAUCGAAUCUUUGAACGCAUAUUGCGCUCUCUGGUAUUCCGGAGAGCAUGCUUGUUUGAGUAUCAGUAAACACCUCAACUCCCUUUUCUUUUUUGAAAUUGGAGCUGGACUUGAGUGAUCCCAACGCUUUCUUCCAAGAAAGUGGCGGGUUGCUUGAAAUGCAGGUGCAGCUGAACUUUUCUCUGAGCUAUAAGCAUAUCUAUUUAGUCUGCCUAAAAAACAGAUUAUUACCUUUGCUGCAGCUAACAUAAAGGAGACUAAUUCUUGUGCUGACUGAUGCAGGAUUCACAGAGACAGCUUCGGCUGACUUUGUAAACUCGAUCUCAAAUCAAGUAAGACUACCCGCUGAACUUAAGCAUAUCAAUAAGCGGAGGA
This 430-nucleotide unclassified non-coding RNA is filed under the name soil metagenome. RNAcentral's name for it is "partial contains 5.8S ribosomal RNA, internal transcribed spacer 2, and large subunit ribosomal RNA". The stretch from base 1 to 120 matches the Rfam family "5.8S ribosomal RNA", at positions 35 to 154 of the family's 154-position model. The record is from RNAcentral.